GUUGGCUGUUGUUUGGCUGGGGUCGAUGCCUUAGUACACACACAUGAAGUCAGUCAGUCUCACAGAGCAUCAGCCAGCACAAUUUCUAUGAGUUAUGUUUCACUUGAGGGAGAGAGAUAGGGUGACAUGACUAAAACCCUGCCUUGCUCCCUGAAGGCGGCACAUGUCAACCAUCUUCUGGGGCCUUGUCAGCAGCCAAAAGGUUUUAAUGGAACUGUGUUCUGGGAUUUGCACAUGUCGUCGGUCUUGUUCAAGAGAAGGAGAGUGUCGAGGGGGGGGAAGAGAGAAAAGAGACCUCUUUGAGUGUCAAGCCGAUGAAAGGCGACACGGCGUCCGCCAACAAAAUAGCUUCUUCAGUCUUCUUAUCCUUCCCUGCCAACACACACAGAUCCAAACUCAAAUCGUCAGCUUCUCUUCCCGAGAUGUUCUCUGUAAGCUCGAGAUAGGCUUGGGUGUUUGGUGAUUGAACAGCCGGGUGCCUAUUCUGAACUGCGCAUCUUCAUUUAACAGGCAUAACACCUACUGCUACAGAAUGCAGUUCAGUUUUUUGCACUCGCUUGGCUCUACUACAGUUUUUUUUUUUUUUUUUCAAAUUUCAGAUACGCUCCUCAAAUCAAGUAUUCAUCAAAAUAUCUAACUGGGGGAACAUUUACAACUGAUUGCCAACCAUUUUAUCAAAGUAACAUUAUUUAAAAUGCCGAGAACAAAAUUAGCUUCCAAAUGGAAGCACAGCCAGUUUUCCAUCUGUUUAUAUUGUUUUAAUGGCAUUUGCUAAAGCCUGCCCCACUGACAUGUGUGCCAUUAAAUGUGAAUGAUAAAACUUCCCCCUGAAAAACAACAAGCAGCUUGGCACAUUUUUAUGUAUGUUCUGAUUUUAACACUGAACAUUUUAGAAUAUUUUUAAAUAAAAUCAGAUACCACUGUUUUCUUUUGGAAAUCCCCCUAUGCUAUACGGAUAAGUGAUUAAUUUAUUCAUUUAUUAAAGAUAAAAGAUUUUUUUUAAUAAAUUCAAACUUUUCUGCUCAAUAAUGAUGGCAUAAAAAGGCAUUGCAAAU
Astatotilapia calliptera (eastern happy) is the source of this 1055-nucleotide long non-coding RNA. The record is from Ensembl. Lineage: Eukaryota; Metazoa; Chordata; Actinopteri; Cichliformes; Cichlidae.